RNAcentral lists this ribosomal RNA (118 nucleotides) under Peromyscus maniculatus bairdii (prairie deer mouse). The record is from RNAcentral. Lineage: Eukaryota; Metazoa; Chordata; Mammalia; Rodentia; Cricetidae.
GUCGGUGGCCACUCCCCCCCUGAAUGUGCCUGAUCUUGACUGAGCUCAGAAGCUAAACAGGGUCGGGCCUGGUUAGUCCCCCACAUGGCUUGUGUAGUGGACUUGGUCCCCAGAGGCA